UUCUCCUUUCCCCAAUUCUAUAGACAGUCCCUUACUUCCCUUUCCCUUAUUCUAUUUAAUAAAUAUUUGGUUGGAACAACUGAGUAGUUAUUUUCUUCCUUGUCCUCCUACCGUCAGGACAAAGUGGUGACCCAGCUUAAUCUGCAAUCUUCACGAUCUACACGAUGAGGAUGCCGUCUUUUCAGCGGUGCUGACAAAGUGGCAACCCAUCGUAGGGUGCAGUACAACCUGAAGCUCAACUUGUUAUUUUAUUCCUACUACGUCAAACGAAGUUGUGCAAAUCUUUUAAUAUCGUCUUUUACAACGGCAAAGCAGAUGCUGUAUUGGAACGACCUGAAUACUGUAGGAAUAGUUGCUGAUACAAUUUGGAAAUAUUAUGCGGAUCAAUACAAAAGACUCAUCAGUUAUUCAAUGAAUCAGACAUGUUGAUAGCUUAUCAAAUACUUGCUCAAUCAAGGAGAAGUAUCGACCUUCAUCAGACUACAUGAAGGAUGGACUCCACAAAGCAUGGAGUGCCCAUAGUUUUGGAGAGCAGCAUGCGAAUACCUGCAGUCUCAAUUAGUUAAUCGUUUACAAUAAUCAAAGGCGAGGCAACAUGAAUACAUUCAUCAUUUUGAUGCAGAUACUACUAACGGAAAUAUACUUUCGGCACUUUCCAAGAAAUAUUCUUAACUACUAUCACUGUUUCAAUUUCUUCCAUCUUUGGCGCCCUCCCGAGCCCCGACAAUUCUCAUUAUCGGAUUUUACUUCGACGAUUUCAAGAAGAGCAUUCAAAGAUCAGAUUCAAUCCACUACUACAUGCAGCUUCUGUUAUCAGGAUUUUCGACAUACACAUUAAUUUAUUUAAUAAUUUCGUGACUUUUUUGUUAGUAAUUUUCCUCUACAUUUUCUUAAUUUAUUAUGUUACCUUCUUCGUCUUCCCUUUCGGUCCCCUCCGAGUGUCGCAUUGGAUGCGAUUCUUCAAAAUUAUUAUUUCCCGUUCCCAUCUUGGUUGACUCACAAAUUUUAUGUUCCCAUUCCCAUACAUAUUUUUAUUACCAUAUUCCCCUGAGUAGUUAUUUUUCUUCCUUGUCCUCCUACCGUCAGGACAAAAACAUGGCCGUUUCAAAAUAACAUAUACAUAGG
This is a non-coding RNA of Caenorhabditis elegans, 1125 nucleotides long. Lineage: Eukaryota; Metazoa; Nematoda; Chromadorea; Rhabditida; Rhabditidae. The record is from Ensembl.